CAGAUUGCCAAGUGGUGUUAGCCUACAAGACAAAUUUUCUGUGGCAAGCACUUUAGGAAUGAUCAAAGACUAUGUGGACAGAAACCAAGCUAGUGGCAUUGGCCCAUAUGAUCUUGCUAUUCCUUAUCCUCGCAAGGUGUUCAGCAAUCAAGAUUUAAGCAAAUCAUUGUCAGAGCUGGGUCUGUUCAAUAGACAAGCAUUGAUAGUAGUCCCUCGUCAAAGAGCCAUAAAUAACCACAGAGGAGGUUCUUCGUCCGACCAAACUGCUACUAUAGUUGACACUGAUUCAUCAAUUGUGCAUAAUGGGGGAUAUUUUGCCUACGUCAAAACGAUGCUAUCAUAUAUCAAUCCACUUUCCUAUCUUGGUGGUAGUACAAGUUCAUCAAGUUCUGGACAAGCUCAAACUGGCAUGUGGGAGUACAGUCCAAAUCCAGCACUGCAGAACAACUUAGCAAGAACAGAGAGGCCAUACUCCGCUUACUCAUCAAACCAAAGCACUUCGGCAACUGGCAGAAAUGAUAACGGGAGCGGGCAACCAACGUCAUCCCGAUUUGGAAGCAAUAUUCACACAUUGAAACAUGAUGAAGACGAUAGCCAGUUCGGCGAUAGAAAUCCCUAUUGGAAUGGCAAUUCAACUCAGUAUGGUGGCAACAGCGAUGGUAAAUAAGGCUCCUGCCAGAGUUUCGUAGUCCGAUCACUGCUGAGUAUGAGCUUUUUAUCUCUGGGAGUUUCUUUUUCCACCAGUUACAGACUUCAAUUAAUCCGACUAUAAUAGUACAGACCAAGAAGGAAAGCAAACGAUAAAUCCUUAAGGGAAAUAGAAGUCCCUGAAGUUACCUUGUGGUUGUAAAUUUCUACCUUUCGCCUUUCGAAUUUGAACUCGAUAAUCUAGUUGAGUUAAAAGUGUAUUCUUGGCUGAAAAAGCCUGCUUUUAUGCCCUUUCCUUUUCUCCUCUUAUUUUAAUUUUUUUUUUAUACAAUUGACUCUGUUUAGGAUUUGAACUCAAAAUUUCA
RNAcentral lists this unclassified non-coding RNA (1013 nucleotides) under Hevea brasiliensis (rubber tree). Lineage: Eukaryota; Viridiplantae; Streptophyta; Magnoliopsida; Malpighiales; Euphorbiaceae. The record is from RNAcentral.